This 889-nucleotide long non-coding RNA is filed under the name Helianthus annuus (common sunflower). The record is from RNAcentral. Lineage: Eukaryota; Viridiplantae; Streptophyta; Magnoliopsida; Asterales; Asteraceae.
AACUAAACCCUUUUAUGAUCCAGAUAAAGAUAAGAUGGGGGUCAUUUAAAAAUUAAAAACUAACAUCUACGGGUCAUAUUGGGUCGAUUAAAUAAGAAUAGCUGGUCAUCCGGGUCAUUAGGGGUUUAAUGGAAGAAACCACAUGGGUUAAGAUUUCAAUAGUUCAAUUCACGGUGAAGAAGACUGAUUCACUGAACAUCAUCUUUAGUUCUUCAUCAUCGAUAUUGUUUCUUUGAUUUUUGUGACAAUUGCAGAUGUUUGUCAUCUACUUCUCACAGCGAUUUCCAUAUGGUUAAUCAAGUGUUCAUCAAGAUUCAAGGGUGUUUUAGGGACAUCUCGAUGAUCAAUUCACACAACUUCAGAAAGUGCAAGAUAAAAGCAACCCGAACUUUGUGUUUGUAGUGGUGCCCCUUUUCUUUGAAGACCCUUAAAAGUUUCUUCAAAAUUUGACAAUUGUUCUCCAGAAAAUCUGCUUCUAGAUGCUUCCGGAAACCGCGAAGUUUCGGAUUUUAGAUUGAGUGCCCUUUUCUCGGCAAGUUAGGGAUGACUAUUGAGUUACAGCUGGGUCGGAGUUGUGUCAGUUCUGAGACGAUUUGGACAACAACUGUGAGUCAGUUGCAGUGCCAGUUUGUUCAAACCAGUACCAGCAGCAGCAUUGUGGUGAUUAUAGUUGGCAGUUUGCAAAAUCAAGUUUAAACUUAUAAUAUGCAACACUGUUAGAGGUGGUUGGCUACACUGUACAACGUACUUGUUGUAUCAUCAAUAACGAUUCGGUUAAGCGCGCCGCAACGCGGCGCUACGUAAAAAUCUAGUUUCUUUCAAAUAGGACUUAAGGCAUCAAUUUUCAGGUUUUCUGAUUUUUCUUUUGAUUUUCUGAAUUUUUUUCCUC